RNAcentral lists this long non-coding RNA (1038 nucleotides) under Apteryx haastii (Great spotted kiwi). RNAcentral's name for it is "lncRNA (ENSAHAG00000018505.1)". The record is from RNAcentral. Lineage: Eukaryota; Metazoa; Chordata; Aves; Apterygiformes; Apterygidae.
AUGAGCCACGGACAACUCGGCCUUGCUGCUGCGGGGCUGCGCUCGCCCUUCGCUCCUGGCGCCGCAGUGCGGCCCCGAGGCAGCAGAGGAGGAACGAAAAAUGAGAGAGAAGGGGGGGAAAAAAGGAAGAAAGCAAGGAAACGCAAAGCAGCACCCGCUGCCAGGUGCCCGUCCUCCACCCAUGGGUGCCCCUGCAGCCACCUGCCCGGCGUCAGCCUAACGCUGCGUCGGGCCGUCGGUGUCAUGAGUUGCUGCGGUCUCAGCGGGGCUCUCGGGAGCAGGGGUCCAGGCGGCACCUGCAGCCCCCCGGUGCCUUUGGAGGCUGGCUGUGCUCGGCCAAGGCAUCACAGCUCCUUGCAGGCUGCUUCUUGCUCCUCGGAGGCCAGGUGGAGCACGGGAGCAGCGCCUGGCCGGGAAACGGCUGCUGCGACGGGCCUGGUGCUUCGGAGGUGCUACCGGGAUCUGCUCCCGCCCGUCCUCCUCGGAUGGUCCCGAAGGAGCCCCUGCUUCCGCCGGGAACAGCCAGCAGCUCAGGUUGUCCCUGCUGCUCGGGGGGCCCCACGGAGCCGGUGGGAAGCAUUUUCGGGAUGGGCACGCGCAGGGGGACGGGGACACUGCAUUGCAGCUGGAGCCUGCAUCCYGCUGCUGCUUCCCGGCUGCGGUGCAUCCUGGUGGGAAGGCGCUAACGAGGAGCAGCUGACGAGGGGCUCUGCAGAGCGCAGGAGCCGCAUGGAGGAGCGCGUGCCGGCGGUGCGGGAGCUGGGCGCUCUGCAUCGCUCGACCCRGCCGAGCGCCGAGACGAUGGCUGCCCCUGCGGAGAGGCUUUUGCUCGGUUCCGGGCAGGCGCGGGGAGAGAAGGGAGCGGGAGAACUCCGUCCUAAUCGCGCUUCACUGCGGCACGCUCAACCCACACGGUGCCCCCAGUACCCGCGUGGCAGAGCGGCACGGAGAGACGCUCCCCUCCAGCUUGGGGACGAAGGCGCCCUUCUCCCCGUGCCGCCCCGGGGCUCCGAACCCCCCCCUUGGAGCCGCUCGUGA